CGGGCUCAUAACCCGAAGGUCACUGGUUCGAGUCCAGUUCCCGCUACUA
Molecule: transfer RNA, 49 nt
Filed under: Flavobacteriaceae bacterium
Lineage: Bacteria; Pseudomonadati; Bacteroidota; Flavobacteriia; Flavobacteriales; Flavobacteriaceae
Description: tRNA-Ser
Rfam family: tRNA
About the family: Transfer RNA (tRNA) molecules are approximately 80 nucleotides in length. Their secondary structure includes four short double-helical elements and three loops (D, anti-codon, and T loops). Further hydrogen bonds mediate the characteristic L-shaped molecular structure. tRNAs have two regions of fundamental functional importance: the anti-codon, which is responsible for specific mRNA codon recognition, and the 3' end, to which the tRNAs corresponding amino acid is attached (by aminoacyl-tRNA synthetases). tRNAs cope with the degeneracy of the genetic code in two manners: having more than one tRNA (with a specific anti-codon) for a particular amino acid; and 'wobble' base-pairing, i.e. permitting non-standard base-pairing at the 3rd anti-codon position.
Source: RNAcentral